AAGCCAGCCAAUGAGUCUGCUUACCUGAAUGUGUUUCUGCAAAAACUCAUACAAAGCUGGCAAUUUAGAGUAGUCAUGUUACAAGCCUUAAAGACACAGAAGUCAUUAAGGUCCCUGAAAAUGGCUAUAAGA
Molecule: small nucleolar RNA, 132 nt
Organism: Molossus molossus (Pallas's mastiff bat)
Lineage: Eukaryota; Metazoa; Chordata; Mammalia; Chiroptera; Molossidae
Product: small nucleolar RNA SNORA33
Exons: 1
Source: RefSeq, a predicted model, not a curated record